Molecule: ribosomal RNA, 300 nt
Filed under: Triticum aestivum (bread wheat)
Lineage: Eukaryota; Viridiplantae; Streptophyta; Magnoliopsida; Poales; Poaceae
Description: partial small subunit ribosomal RNA
Source: RNAcentral
AUGCCGCCCCAACUACCUCAUCCAAUAGGACGCCGGCCGCGGCGUCACAGCUUCUUCAACGUAUGCCUCACAAUGGGGCUCGCUGUGCUGCUGGCGGACAGCCGCGGCCUCGCUGGUGUGGUGCGGGAUUUCCAGAUCACCCGGCGGCUGGGGUUGGAGGAUGGCGUUCCCACAACUCCUCAUCGGGGUUCCAUAGGGGCUGCAGGUGCAGCUGCAUCAAGCGAAUUGGCCGACGGCGUGCAAUGCAUAGACAAAGCAGAAGUCAGUAUGGAGCAAAUACGAGUUCGGUUGCUCUUCUGA